CAGCAGCCGCGGGAACACGGAGGGGGCAAGCGUUGUCCGGAAUUAUUGGGCGUAAAGGGCUCGCAGGCGGUUUCUUAAGUCUGAUGUGAAAGCCCCCGGCUCAACCGGGGAGGGUCAUUGGAAACUGGGAAACUUGAGUGCAGAAGAGGAGAGUGGAAUUCCACGUGUAGCGGUGAAAUGCGUAGAGAUGUGGAGGAACACCAGUGGCGAAGGCGACUCCCUGGUCUGUAACUGACGCUGAGGAGCGAAAGCGUGGGGAGCGAACAGGAUUAGAGACCCCGGUAGUCCCUGUCUCUUAUAC
RNAcentral lists this ribosomal RNA (301 nucleotides) under uncultured bacterium. Its description in RNAcentral is "partial 16S ribosomal RNA". It matches the Rfam family "Bacterial small subunit ribosomal RNA", at positions 509 to 807 of the family's 1533-position model. The record is from RNAcentral.